CGCAUCUGUGCAUGCAGCAUAUCAAUAAGCGGAGGAAAAGAAACUAACAAGGAUUCCCCUAGUAACGGCGAGUGAAGCGGGAAGAGCUCAAAUUUGAAAUCUUAAAGGGUUUCCCUUUACGAAUUGUAGUUUAAAGAAGUGUUUUCUGUUGAGGUUUUGGUAAAAGUUCUUUGGAAUAGGACAUCAUAGAGGGUGAGAAUCCCGUAUUUGACCUUUACUUUCAACUUUGUGAUACACUUUCAAAGAGUCGGAUUGUUUGGGAAUGCAGUCCAAAAUGGGUGGUAAAUUUCAUCUAAAGCUAAAUAUUGGCGAGAGACCGAUAGCGAACAAGUACCGUGAGGGAAAGAUGAAAAGAACUUUGAAAAGAGAGUUAAACAGUACGUGAAAUUGUCAAAAGGGAAGCGUUUGACACCAGUGUUGUUUUUCUGAAGAUCAAUUAAAGAACUGUCUAUGCUAAGUUGUUUAGACUUUAUCAGCUAACUGUUUAGUUUUGAGCUUUUCUUUAAUGCACUUUUCAGUUAACAAGUCAACAUCAAUUUCUUUUGCUGUAAAAAAGCUUGAGGAAGGUGGCUUGAGAUUCGUCUUAAGUGUUUAUAGCCUCUUGCCUAUGCAGUCGGAGAGAUUGAGGUCUGCAGCGUAGAUCCUUCGGGGCUAAAUGCAUUUGUGCUAAGUUAUAGCAUUUUAUAGGACAACUUGUUGACUAUGAUUUGUCUUGUAGCUUACUCGCUUAUGUUAUUUUACCUACGCUUAGGAUGUUGAGUCGUAGAGCACGCAG
RNAcentral lists this ribosomal RNA (775 nucleotides) under uncultured Neocallimastigales. RNAcentral's name for it is "partial large subunit ribosomal RNA". It matches the Rfam family "Eukaryotic large subunit ribosomal RNA", at positions 26 to 628 of the family's 3401-position model. Lineage: Eukaryota; Fungi; Neocallimastigomycota; Neocallimastigomycetes; Neocallimastigales. The record is from RNAcentral.